UAUUUAUAUCACUGCAGGCCAGCAUCGGUUUUAUUAGCCGGAUAAAGGUAUAAGAAAGGUGGCAGUUUCGGCUGUGUUAUAGUCUUAUACUGAAUACGGAAGGUGAGACCGAGGGACGCAGCGCGCCGUAAGGCAAAGGAUUCGUCCUUUUCGCGCUUAGGAUGCUGGUGAAAUGGCUUUAAUCGACCCGUCUUGAAACACGGACCAAGGAGUCUAACAUGCUUGCGAGUGUUUGGGUGGUCAAACCCAUCCGCGUAAUGAAAGUGAAUGGAGGUGGGAUCCUUUACCGGAGCACCAUCGACCGAUCCGGAUUUUUAAUGAAGGAUUUGAGUAAGAGCACGUAUGUUGGAACCCGAAAGAUGGUGAACUAUGCCUGAAUAGGGUGAAGCCAGAGGAAACUCUGGUGGAGGCUCGUAGCGGUUCUGACGUGCAAAUCGAUCGUCAAAUUUGGGUAUAGGGGCGAAAGACUAAUCGAACCAUCUAGUA
Molecule: ribosomal RNA, 486 nt
Filed under: Cyphobasidium usneicola
Lineage: Eukaryota; Fungi; Basidiomycota; Cystobasidiomycetes; Cyphobasidiales; Cyphobasidiaceae
Description: eukaryotic LSU rRNA
Rfam family: Eukaryotic large subunit ribosomal RNA
Source: RNAcentral